CCUACGGGGGGCAGCAGUGAGGAAUAUUGGUCAAUGGGCGAGAGCCUGAACCAGCCAAGUCGCGUGAAGGAUGACGGCCCUACGGGUUGUAAACUUCUUUUGUCAGGGAGCAAUUGAGUCCACUUGUUGGCUUAGCGAGAGUACCUGAAGAAAAAGCAUCGGCUAACUCCGUGCCAGCAGCCGCGGUAAUACGGGGGAUGCGAGCGUUAUCCGGAUUUAUUGGGUUUAAAGGGUGCGUAGGCGGAAUAUCAAGUCAGCGGUAAAAAUUCGGGGCUCAACCCCGUCGUGCCGUUGAAACUGAUGUUCUUGAGUGGGCGAGAGGUAUGCGGAAUGCGGGGUGUAGCGGUGAAAUGCGUAGAUAUCACGCGGAACUCCGGUUGCGAAGGCAGCAUACCGGAGCCCAACUGACGCUGAAGCGCGAAAGCGUGGGUAUCGAACAGGAUUAGAUACCCUUGUAGUC
This 460-nucleotide ribosomal RNA is filed under the name uncultured bacterium. RNAcentral describes it as "partial 16S ribosomal RNA". It matches the Rfam family "Bacterial small subunit ribosomal RNA", at positions 338 to 795 of the family's 1533-position model. The record is from RNAcentral.